RNAcentral lists this ribosomal RNA (379 nucleotides) under uncultured Armatimonadota bacterium. RNAcentral's name for it is "bacterial SSU rRNA". It matches the Rfam family "Bacterial small subunit ribosomal RNA", at positions 9 to 396 of the family's 1533-position model. Lineage: Bacteria; Bacillati; Armatimonadota. The record is from RNAcentral.
GAGUUUGAUCGUGGCUCAGGACGAACGCUGGCGGCGUGCCUAAAACAUGCAAGUCGAACGAGAUCUUCGGAUCUAGUGGCGAACGGCGGAGUAAGACAUGAGCAACGUGCCCCUAUGACUGGGAUAUACAGAGGAAACUCUGGGCAAUACCGGAUGUGGCCAACCAUUGGCAUCUUUGGUUGACUAAACGGAUUUAUUCGCAUAGGGAGCGGCUCAUGACCCAUCAGGUAGUUGGUAGGGUAACGGCCUACCAAGCCGACGACGGGUAGCGGGUCUGAGAGGAUGAUCCGCCCGAGUGGGACUGAGACACGGCCCACACACCUACGGGUGGCAGCAGUUGGGAAUCUUGCACAAUGGGGGAAACCCUGAUGCAGCGACG